RNAcentral lists this long non-coding RNA (967 nucleotides) under Sparus aurata (gilthead seabream). RNAcentral describes it as "lncRNA (ENSSAUG00010005280.1)". The record is from RNAcentral. Lineage: Eukaryota; Metazoa; Chordata; Actinopteri; Spariformes; Sparidae.
UGGGUUUACUGCUUGCAUGUAAAACAAUGACAUUUUAUUUUGAAACGACAAAAGGGAAGUUAAUGCGCCACCCUCGCAGGCUUUCAGCGCACUCAGUCUGAUACUAGCCUGCUGAAGAUGGAUGAAUGGAGAAACAUCAGCAGAGGAUACUACCACAGUGACCUUUCACUUGCCGCCAACCCGUGGGCAGACAGAAGCUCUGCAGCGAAGUUAAGACGCUCUACAGUGAAUUCCAGGGGAUCACCAAUAAAAAAUGUGCUUUUCCCCCAUUGCUUCACCCGGAAGGAAUACAACCCAGCCACUAAAUAUCUACAAAGAGAAGGAGGCUGGAAGUUUUGAUGGCAGAUGAGCAACAGGAUGAUUUGGAGGCAUGCCAGGAAGGUCCAGCAGCUUUGGUAGCAGUGGUCAUUGAGAAGCAAGUAACUGCAGGAAUGCCCUUUAAAACUCACCAUUUGUCAAUCAACCAUCUCACAGAUCUUGAACAGAUGUACUGUUGAUUUUGUUUGGCCUUAUUUAUGCUCACCAUAUGAGCUACCUUAAGAAGCUAAGUGGUUUCUUCGAGUUCAUCCACCUCUUUGAGGUUUUGUUGUGCAGUACUAUUAUAUAUAAGUACUAUUAUACAGCUACCUGAUAAUGAACAGUAAAGUUGUGUAAAAUAACAGAAAUUGUAUUUUUUUUUUUACAUUUCUACGUUGAUUUAAUUUACCAACUUUUAAUCAGGUUUGUACAGUAUAAAUCUGUAUUUUGAAUGUUGCGUAACUUUAUAAGAAAAGUGUAUCUGUAAAAAGACAUUAAAUAUUUGUAUUUUUAAUCAUAUAACUACCACUUCUUUUACUGUUGAUUGUCACUAAUUCUAUCAAAGUUUAGAAAUAUUUUUACAGUUUUAAACUUUAAUUUAACAUUUUCAACUAUUAAAUAAAAAAUAAAUAUUUGUAAAAAUACGAUACGCUUACAAGUGUAUUUUAAC